UUCCAUCGCCAUCUUUGUGAUUCG
RNAcentral lists this small nuclear RNA (24 nucleotides) under Arabidopsis thaliana (thale cress). RNAcentral describes it as "snRNA_18214". The record is from RNAcentral. Lineage: Eukaryota; Viridiplantae; Streptophyta; Magnoliopsida; Brassicales; Brassicaceae.